Molecule: non-coding RNA, 146 nt
Organism: Gossypium raimondii (Peruvian cotton)
Lineage: Eukaryota; Viridiplantae; Streptophyta; Magnoliopsida; Malvales; Malvaceae
Source: Rfam
UAUUAAAAUUUUCAUCCAUUUUGUAUUGUUGAAAACUGGCAUGGUUGACAGAAUAACCAAACAACAAUAUGCGGUGUGUCACGUUUACCUCAUGCUAACGUACAUGAGCCAUAUUUUAAUAGUAGAAACGGAUAAAACUUUUAACA